GUCGAGCGGUAGAGAGAAGCUUGCUUCUCUUGAGAGCGGCGGACGGGUGAGUAAUGCCUAGGAAUCUGCCUGGUAGUGGGGGAUAACGUUCGGAAACGGACGCUAAUACCGCAUACGUCCUACGGGAGAAAGCAGGGGACCUUCGGGCCUUGCGCUAUCAGAUGAGCCUAGGUCGGAUUAGCUAGUUGGUGAGGUAAUGGCUCACCAAGGCGACGAUCCGUAACUGGUCUGAGAGGAUGAUCAGUCACACUGGAACUGAGACACGGUCCAGACUCCUACGGGAGGCAGCAGUGGGGAAUAUUGGACAAUGGGCGAAAGCCUGAUCCAGCCAUGCCGCGUGUGUGAAGAAGGUCUUCGGAUUGUAAAGCACUUUAAGUUGGGAGGAAGGGCUGUUACCUAAUACGUAAUGGUUUUGACGUUACCGACAGAAUAAGCACCGGCUAACUCUGUGCCAGCAGCCGCGGUAAUACAGAGGGUGCAAGCGUUAAUCGGAAUUACUGGGCGUAAAGCGCGCGUAGGUGGUUUGUUAAGUUGGAUGUGAAAUCCCCGGGCUCAACCUGGGAACUGCAUUCAAAACUGACUGACUAGAGUAUGGUAGAGGGUGGUGGAAUUUCCUGUGUAGCGGUGAAAUGCGUAGAUAUAGGAAGGAACACCAGUGGCGAAGGCGACCACCUGGACUGAUACUGACACUGAGGUGCGAAAGCGUGGGGAGCAAACAGGAUUAGAUACCCUGGUAGUCCACGCCGUAAACGAUGUCAACUAGCCGUUGGGAGCCUUGAGCUCUUAGUGGCGCAGCUAACGCAUUAAGUUGACCGCCUG
RNAcentral lists this ribosomal RNA (819 nucleotides) under Pseudomonas extremaustralis. Its description in RNAcentral is "bacterial SSU rRNA". It matches the Rfam family "Bacterial small subunit ribosomal RNA", at positions 61 to 875 of the family's 1533-position model. Lineage: Bacteria; Pseudomonadati; Pseudomonadota; Gammaproteobacteria; Pseudomonadales; Pseudomonadaceae. The record is from RNAcentral.